Myotis davidii is the source of this 73-nucleotide long non-coding RNA. RefSeq lists it as uncharacterized. The record is from RefSeq and is a predicted model, not a curated record. The transcript is spliced from 2 exons. Lineage: Eukaryota; Metazoa; Chordata; Mammalia; Chiroptera; Vespertilionidae.
ACACAACCAGACACGAUUUGGAAGAGCUUCCCAGCAGAAGGCACAACAAUGGCAGCGAUACCAGUCCCAUAUA